GGCGGUCUCGUAAUCUUUCUUAUUUCUUUCUCAAUAACUGAGCCCUUAGUUUUUUCAUUAGUAACCAUAUCAUCACCACUUGGUACCUUUUAUAGCUCUACAACAAGUGUUUCAUCAACAUUAGCUUUCACAGAAGGUAGUGGAGGAUCCACAGUACUAAUACCACUCCUCGUGGUAAUAACAAAAACAUGACUGUUAUUUUCUAAAUUCUGUACAGUAUUGCUCGGAAGGGCACCUGGCUGCCUCUGGUUUAGAGUUACUGAUAUCUAUCUAAAUUGGUACUCCAACUACUUGAUAGUAGUUGCAUGAGAUUCGAACUUUUGGGUCAAACUUGAAAUGUCGG
RNAcentral lists this long non-coding RNA (343 nucleotides) under Capsicum annuum. RNAcentral's name for it is "long non-coding RNA (CANN_LNC008300)". Lineage: Eukaryota; Viridiplantae; Streptophyta; Magnoliopsida; Solanales; Solanaceae. The record is from RNAcentral.